ACUACGGGGUGCAGCAGUGGGGAAUAUUGCACAAUGGGCGCAAGCCUGAUGCAGCCAUGCCGCGUGUGUGAAGAAGGCCUUCGGGUUGUAAAGCACUUUCAGCGGGGAGGAAGGCGUUAAGGUUAAUAACCUUGUCGAUUGACGUUACCCGCAGAAGAAGCACCGGCUAACUCCGUGCCAGCAGCCGCGGUAAUACGGAGGGUGCAAGCGUUAAUCGGAAUUACUGGGCGUAAAGCGCACGCAGGCGGUCUGUCAAGUCGGAUGUGAAAUCCCCGGGCUCAACCUGGGAACUGCAUUCGAAACUGGCAGGCUAGAGUCUUGUAGAGGGGGGUAGAAUUCCAGGUGUAGCGGUGAAAUGCGUAGAGGUCUGGAGGAAUACCGGUGGCGAAGGCGGCCCCCUGGACAAAGACUGACGCUCAGGUGCGAAAGCGUGGGGAGCAAACAGGAUUAGAUACCCCGGUAGUC
This 465-nucleotide ribosomal RNA is filed under the name uncultured Klebsiella sp. RNAcentral describes it as "bacterial SSU rRNA". It matches the Rfam family "Bacterial small subunit ribosomal RNA", at positions 338 to 795 of the family's 1533-position model. Lineage: Bacteria; Pseudomonadati; Pseudomonadota; Gammaproteobacteria; Enterobacterales; Enterobacteriaceae. The record is from RNAcentral.